UUUGUGUAUGCAUUACAGCUUGGACUGGCGGCAUCGACUGAAAAAUCAUCCCAACCAUCUUGGAGACAGCCAGGCAGGUGUUGCGAGCUGUGAUGCCUGAGGCACCCGCCGAGAAAAUGGGGUUCGACAUGAUGAUCAAGGAAGCGCAGGAAACAGAGAAACCGAAAUUAUGUUUGCAAGAUGGUUAUCAUAUAUUCUAAUUCAGACACAACCGAUGAUACAACAACGCUCUUCGCCAAAUUCUAAUUCAGUCGAGCGUAUCUUAGCUUGGGACCAUGCCCGUGCAACAGUUUUUGUCAUCUUCAUGCCCCAUAUAAGUUGCUUCUGUCAUGCAUAGAAGACAAAGACGCCACCGACAGCAGCGACACACAUAGUGAGGUCAUUGCCCGACAGGAUUUUUCUUUGAGCUGCCUGGAGACUUGCUUUGAGCUACUAGGAGACAUCCAGUGUUGGUGUAUUCUCCCUUCAUUUCCCUUGUUUUUUCAUUGAAAAUCUGAACAUAUGUAGUUGAUUUCCAGAUUUCGAUCGCCCUACAAUAUUUUUGACUUAGUUAUUUGUACAUAGUACGAGCUUGAAUAUUGAAUAAGCAG
This 590-nucleotide ribosomal RNA is filed under the name Triticum aestivum (bread wheat). RNAcentral's name for it is "partial small subunit ribosomal RNA". The record is from RNAcentral. Lineage: Eukaryota; Viridiplantae; Streptophyta; Magnoliopsida; Poales; Poaceae.